CGAGUCGAGCGGUAGCACAGAGAGCUUGCUCUCGGGUGACGAGCGGCGGACGGGUGAGUAAUGUCUGGGAAACUGCCUGAUGGAGGGGGAUAACUACUGGAAACGGUAGCUAAUACCGCAUAACGUCGCAAGACCAAAGUGGGGGACCUUCGGGCCUCAUGCCAUCAGAUGUGCCCAGAUGGGAUUAGCUGGUAGGUGGGGUAACGGCUCACCUAGGCGACGAUCCCUAGCUGGUCUGAGAGGAUGACCAGCCACACUGGAACUGAGACACGGUCCAGACUCCUACGGGAGGCAGCAGUGGGGAAUAUUGCACAAUGGGCGCAAGCCUGAUGCAGCCAUGCCGCGUGUGUGAAGAAGGCCUUCGGGUUGUAAAGCACUUUCAGCGGGGAGGAAGGCGAUGAGGUUAAUAACCUUGUCGAUUGACGUUACCCGCAGAAGAAGCACCGGCUAACUCCGUGCCAGCAGCCGCGGUAAUACGGAGGGUGCAAGCGUUAAUCGGAAUUACUGGGCGUAAAGCGCACGCAGGCGGUCUGUCAAGUCGGAUGUGAAAUCCCCGGGCUCAACCUGGGAACUGCAUUCGAAACUGGCAGGCUAGAGUCUUGUAGAGGGGGGUAGAAUUCCAGGUGUAGCGGUGAAAUGCGUAGAGAUCUGGAGGAAUACCGGUGGCGAAGGCGGCCCCCUGGACAAAGACUGACGCUCAGGUGCGAAAGCGUGGGGAGCAAACAGGAUUAGAUACCCUGGUAGUCCACGCUGUAAACGAUGUCGAUUUGGAGGUUGUGCCCUUGAGGCGUGGCUUCCGGAGCUAACGCGUUAAAUCGACCGCCUGGGGAGUACGGCCGCAAGGUUAAAACUCAAAUGAAUUGACGGGGGCCCGCACAAGCGGUGGAGCAUGUGGUUUAAUUCGAUGCAACGCGAAGAACCUUACCUGGUCUUGACAUCCACAGAACUUUCCAGAGAUGGAUUGGUGCCUUCGGGAACUGUGAGACAGGUGCUGCAUGGCUGUCGUCAGCUCGUGUUGUGAAAUGUUUGGGUUAAGUCCCGCAACGAGCGCAACCCUUAUCCUUUGUUGCCAGCGGUUAGGCCGGGAACUCAAAGGAAACUGCCAGUGUAAACUGGAGGAAAGGGUGGGG
RNAcentral lists this ribosomal RNA (1130 nucleotides) under Klebsiella sp. ABO18. RNAcentral's name for it is "bacterial SSU rRNA". It matches the Rfam family "Bacterial small subunit ribosomal RNA", at positions 58 to 1180 of the family's 1533-position model. The record is from RNAcentral. Lineage: Bacteria; Pseudomonadati; Pseudomonadota; Gammaproteobacteria; Enterobacterales; Enterobacteriaceae.